This 368-nucleotide ribosomal RNA is filed under the name uncultured organism. Its description in RNAcentral is "bacterial SSU rRNA". It matches the Rfam family "Bacterial small subunit ribosomal RNA", at positions 526 to 896 of the family's 1533-position model. The record is from RNAcentral.
CGGAGGAUCCAAGCGUUAUCCGGAUUUAUUGGGUUUAAAGGGUGCGUAGGUGGCCUGUUAAGUCAGGGGUGAAAGACGGUAGCUUAACUAUCGCAGUGCCCUUGAUACUGAUGGGCUUGAAUAAACUAGAGGUAGGCGGAAUGUGACAAGUAGCGGUGAAAUGCAUAGAUAUGUCACAGAACACCAAUUGCGAAGGCAGCUUACUAUGGUUUUAUUGACACUGAGGCACGAAAGCGUGGGGAUCAAACAGGAUUAGAUACCCUGGUAGUCCACGCCCUAAACGAUGAAUACUCGAUGUUGGCGAUAUACGGUCAGCGUCUAAGCGAAAGCGUUAAGUAUUCCACCUGGGGAGUACGCCCGCAAGGGUG